This 27-nucleotide non-coding RNA is filed under the name Mus musculus (house mouse). Lineage: Eukaryota; Metazoa; Chordata; Mammalia; Rodentia; Muridae. The record is from RNAcentral.
UGAUGUUUUGGGUCAAUGGUCUAUCUU